UCAUUCUUCUCUCCACUAACUUAAGGAUAUUCUCUUCUUUCUUCUAGUCUUCACCUUGAUUUGCAUGUCGGCCACGUGUGUUGUCUUUGUGCCGUUGGUUUCCUCUAGCUCCUAUACCAGUCUGUGGUGAUGGGAUUGGGCUGCUUCGCAUUGUUGGUUGUUUUGAAGGCCGAACACCAGACAGGCCUUUCUCUUCAAUGUGAUGAUUUUAUAUGCUGCUUCAAAUUUCAUGCGUGUAGGUUUCUUGAUCUCACGUGUGUUUCUUUGUAUCAAUCUCUCCUCUCCUCUUCUUUUUG
RNAcentral lists this long non-coding RNA (296 nucleotides) under Populus tremula. Its description in RNAcentral is "long non-coding RNA (PTRE_LNC001133)". The record is from RNAcentral. Lineage: Eukaryota; Viridiplantae; Streptophyta; Magnoliopsida; Malpighiales; Salicaceae.